This 1033-nucleotide long non-coding RNA is filed under the name Struthio camelus australis. RNAcentral's name for it is "lncRNA (ENSSCUG00000010230.1)". The record is from RNAcentral. Lineage: Eukaryota; Metazoa; Chordata; Aves; Struthioniformes; Struthionidae.
AGGGAGUCCAUCUUUUGAUGGUACUCCUCCUUCUGCUACUGUGUGUCAAAAAGAGCUCUGGCUGUGGUUUCACACAUUUGGGAGAAGAUUGCGUGAGCAAGCUGAAGCCAGAUGAAGCAUCAUCUCACGCUUGUUUUCCCUGCUGGGCUAACAUAGCUCCCUCUGCAGUAAAUUUUGAGCAGCAAAUGCAUCUGGUUGGGAAGAAAACUUUUGUGCCUGAUCCUGACCUGACUCAAACUCAAGCACUUCUCACUGAGGUUAAGCAGAGUUGCUUCGUUGGACCUCUGAGGUUGAGAGCAUUCUGCUUGAAUCCAACUACCAACUCAAUGGAAGUAGAAGAAGCUUGACCUCUUAAUGCUUUGCCUCUCUAUUAUUAAUAUUGCCAUAGUAUCAAACGUCCUGUGGAUGGAAUGCACAGAUGUAUGGCUGAUGUUGUACAUACAACAUGCAAAAAGAUGGCCAUCCAGCAAACUUUCCCAAAAAUCCCUCAAGAGAGAGAUUUCCUAAGAAAAAAGGGGAGGGGGGGAAGAAGAGACUGCAUCAUAUAUUUCUGAAAAAAAUUAUUUUUUGAGCUGCCAUGGGUAGCAGCAUUACAAAAGUUGAGGGAGGGACAAGAACACAUGAACUCAAGGAAUUUUCUUUUUUUCAAAGGCAAACUCAGCCAAAGCAGGAGGAGGCGGUAACAAGCGAGGAAGUGAGUGAAUGCACAACAGCAAGGCUGGUCUGACCUUUAGAUGCUCAGAGUAUUUAAAGUGUGGCAGUCGCAUUGAUUUCCUAUGUAGACCAUACUGUAUUUCUCCUACACUGACAAACAGGAGACUAACUGAUUCAUGAGAGUCACUAUUUGCAUGUCAAGUUUAUUGGUUUCCUCUGCUACAGCUUUUGUCAGUGAUGCUCAGAAAAUAUCUUGCACAACAUACUCUCCCUACUGCAUUCUCCAUAUGAACAGUUAAAAACAGUAAAUACAUAUACCCAUACUUUUACUUUCUCUGCCUUUAUUGCAUUUUAAUUUUAGUGUUUUAGCUAUGAAAAU